UCGACUAAGCCAUGCGAGUCGAGAGGGUUCGGCCCUCGGCUGACGGCUCAGUAACACGUGGAUAAUCUGCCCUUAGGUGGAGGAUACCCUCGGGAAACUGAGAAUAAUACUCCAUAGGCCUAGGAUGCUGGAAUGCACUUAGGCUGAAAGUUCCGGCGCCUAAGGAUGAGUCUGCGGACUAUCAGGUUGUAGUCAGGGUAAAGACCUGACUAGCCUACGACGGAUACGGGUUGUGAGAGCAAUAACCCGGAGAUGAUAUCUGAGACACGAUAUCAGGCCCUACGGGGCGCAGCAGGCGCGAAAACUUCACACUGUGCGAAAGCACGAUGAGGGAAUCCCAAGUGCCAGCUCGUAAGAGUUGGCUGUUUUUCUGUCUAAAACACAGAGAGAGUAAGAGCUGGGUAAGACGGGUGCCAGCCGCCGCGGUAAUACCUGCAGCUCGAGUGGUGACCGUUAUUAUUGGGCCUAAAACGUCCGUAGCCGGUUUAGUAAAUGCCUGGGUAAAUCGUGUAGCUUAACUAUACGAAUUCCGGGUAGACUGCUAAGCUUGAGACCGGGAGAGGCUAGAGGUACUCCUGGGGUAGAGGUGAAAUUCUGUAAUCCUGGGGGGACCACCAGUGGCGAAGGCGUCUAGCUAGAACGGAUCUGACGGUGAGGGACGAAGCCCUGGGGCGCAAACCGGAUUAGAUACCCGGGUAGUCCAGGGUGUAAACGCUG
This 717-nucleotide ribosomal RNA is filed under the name uncultured archaeon. RNAcentral's name for it is "bacterial SSU rRNA". It matches the Rfam family "Archaeal small subunit ribosomal RNA", at positions 40 to 762 of the family's 1478-position model. The record is from RNAcentral.